GGCACGGGGGCUUAGUGGUUAGCAUGUUUGCCUUACACCAAGGUUGGGGGUUUGAAUCCCGCCUCCGUGCUA
Molecule: non-coding RNA, 72 nt
Organism: Ameiurus melas (black bullhead)
Lineage: Eukaryota; Metazoa; Chordata; Actinopteri; Siluriformes; Ictaluridae
Source: the annotation of a GenBank genome assembly